This 429-nucleotide ribosomal RNA is filed under the name Fusobacteriota bacterium. RNAcentral's name for it is "Fusobacteria bacterium partial 16S ribosomal RNA". It matches the Rfam family "Bacterial small subunit ribosomal RNA", at positions 355 to 776 of the family's 1533-position model. The record is from RNAcentral. Lineage: Bacteria; Fusobacteriati; Fusobacteriota.
UGGGGAAUAUUGCACAAUGGGCGCAAGCCUGAUGCAGCCAUGCCGCGUGUAUGAAGAAGGCCUUCGGGUUGUAAAGUACUUUCAGCGGGGAGGAAGGGAGUAAAGUUAAUACCUUUGCUCAUUGACGUUACCCGCAGAAGAAGCACCGGCUAACUCCGUGCCAGCAGCCGCGGUAAUACGGAGGGUGCAAGCGUUAAUCGGAAUUACUAGGCGUAAAGCGCACGCAGGCGGUUUGUUAAGUCAGAUGUGAAAUCCCCGGGCUCAACCUGGGAACUGCAUCUGAUACUGGCAAGCUUGAGUCUCGUAGAGGGGGGUAGAAUUCCAGGUGUAGCGGUGAAAUGCGUAGAGAUCUGGAGGAAUACCGGUGGCGAAGGCGGCCCCCUGGACGAAGACUGACGCUCAGGUGCGAAAGCGUGGGGAGCAAACAGG